UUUCCUAACUGUGCAUAUGACAAAUAACAACUUUGACCUUGAUGGGUGUCCUGUAGCAAGUGGUGUAGAGCUACAUAUAACAAGGUGGUGCCAUAAGGUGGCGCAGUUUGAUAACCUCAAUUCUCUUCAGUGACUCCUCAAACUCCUCUUCUCCCUAAAUUGCUUUUCACAUGUAGUCCUGGUACACACAUUCACAGCACACAGAGUAUUUAAGCUGCACGGUCAGAAUAAUUUCAGCAGUAAAUGAUUAAUAUCAAGCUGUGACCAACUAGCAGGAUUGGCAGUUUUUGCCAGGUCACCAAACUCAGUGCUCCUGGCCAUGCAGAUAGAAUCCAUCACAAUGACCUUGCCAAGUUUGUGUAUAGUGUGUGCUCCUUUUUUGUGCAUGGUACAAAUGUCUGUGUGCAUCUAAUAGCAUAUUUUUUUAAUUCAUCAGCUUUGAUACUGUGGAGCUCGGGGCCAAGGAUCUGCCUGCCUCUGUGAGGCGGUGAGAGAUGGGGCUGAGCAGACCCACCCCAGACCUCUUCAGCCUCCCUGACGUACCCAUUAGGGACACGUGCUUGCACUAAUAUUUCAUCAUAUUUACCUCAGCAUAGAAGAUGUAAAACCUGUCCAACGCAAAAUAUCCUCCUUUUGCUGUGUUCUUCCCUGUAGUCUCUGUAAUCUGACUGUAGUCGUGUAAACGGAUUUCCAUACAUAGUUUAGAAAGAGUCCUGUUACAAUAAAACAUUGUUUAGACUGUGUACACUAAGUGUGAUCAUAUCACAAAGAGAAGUGAGUAGUCUGGAGUGGGGAAAUUUAUUUUUUUAUUGCAGUUUUUAAUUUUUUUUAUUGAAUACCAGUCAAUUCUUGUGUGUGAGCGUGUAUGUGUCUUUGUGUAUGGCAUGUAGACGACAGAGUUUAAAGUUGUACAUUAGUAAACACCUGCUGAUGUGUCCUUGACACUCAGACUACCCGUAGCUGUGGAGAGGCUUUAGACUGGGGCAACAUUUUUUUCCUCAAGGGCUUAUGAAAUUCUAACAGUCAAAUUGAACCGGUAGUGAAGAGUCUGUCAUAACCACUGUGUGUUGACUUGUGUACCAGAUGCCAACUGUCCAACAAACCACGCUGUGUGUCAGUGUGCGACACGACAUGGCUUAUUGCUGUUGACUCCCAGCGGGUGCCGACAAGUGGCCCAGACACUGGCUUCGCUCUACUGGAGGUUGUCGCCAUGGAGAAGAGUGAGGUCAGUUAAUUGUAAACUGGAUACUAAUUAUGUGUAGUGGCUAUGUCCUUUGCAAAUGAAAAACUUGCACAAACAAAAUGCUAAGGUCUCUCCACUGUGGUUUUUGCUUCCGUCCAGGGUUUUGUCCCUGUACAGUGUUGGGGGGCCAAGUCAGCCUAUGUUCCCUAUGUCAUAGGGUAUUGUUCCAGGACAACCCUGGACAAUAGUUUCACAUUUGUGCAGCUGUCUUUGUGAGGACUGUCAGCGACAUAAUGCAUUCUUUAGCCCCUUAACCUAAUUCUAACCUUAACCCGAAAACCAAGUUUUCAGGUUUCAAACAGCCCUUUGAAGGUGGUGAGAAAAUGAGGACUGGCCAAAGUGUCCUCAUUCCCAUGGUCUUGAAACUCAAUGGCCCUGACAGUGUAUAGUCCUGCAAGUACAAACACACACACACACACUCCCUCAGGCCCAUAUCCUUCCUCUUCACUGCACACUCUUGUAACCUCUCCACUGUUUGUUUCUUUAGUCUCUCUUUCUCAUCAGUCCUCUUUCACAUCACUUUUUCAUUCUGCAGUGUUUGUGUUGCUGGAGUUAGAGCUGGGAUGUGAGAUCAGCACUCUAAAACCUCAUCUGUCCACUGCUCAGAAUGACUUCUCUGCCCUUUGCUAUCGAUCCUCCUGUCCCAGUCUGCACAUGCAGCAAAUCAGUUAAUUUCCCAGGGUCCAUCACAGCUGAUCUCAAACAUACCAGACACUGCCCUACCUGUUGGGAUUCCACUGUUCUGGCCAGCCCUCGGCCCGGGGUGGAUCUUGUGGGGAUGGCUGCCAAGGACAUGCACUUAUCUCUCAAGGUGUGUUCCACACAAAUAUACACAGGCAAACACAUACACACAGCCUUUUAAAAACUCUUUAAUAAGCCUUAGACUGUAUUUAGUCUUACAAGUGCGUAAAAGCAAAUUCAAUUACUGAACAUGAAAUCUGUGCAUUUAGAGCGUUGACAUGAAUUUAUUCCAUUUACUGACAGUCUGGGGGCCUUUAUCAGCUGAUAUUCUCUGUAGACGUCUCAUUUUGAUAGUUGAAAUAAAAGGUUCACUUUAGUUAAGAGUCAAUGUCAAUGUUAAAAUUCAACUUGGUAUCGUCCGCUGAGAGUUCUGACCCAUAGUAACCUAAUGCCUUUUAACCUAAUACGUGAUUUAAGUCACACUUGUGUUAAGAGAAAGACGAGAAGUGGGAGUAGAGAUGACAAGCAACUUGACUAUUAGUACACCAACUAAUAAAUGAUGCUAAGUGUUUGCAUUAAACAAAUUGGUUUCAAAUAAUCUAUCAAUAAUAGGAAAUAAUGUAUAGUCCAAAGAAACUGUUGCCAAAAAUCACUGGACACUCACCUGCACUCAGGUAGUGCAUAGAUUUCUUGGUCAGGUUUUAGGCUUGUGAUACAGUAACUGUCCUAAAACUGCUCCCUAAUCUUGUCAUUCCUAAGGUAAUCUGUUGGAGUAAACAAUCUAAGUUGCAUACUAAGUGGUGGCUGUAAUUAAGGUGUAUUAAGAAAAACCGAGUACAUUAAAUUGGAUGUAGUACAUCAUCCUGCCUUAGCCAUUAACCAGGAAGCACAUCAGAAUCACAUUUUCCAUGAUUUUAUUUGAAAGCCACAUCCAGUAUACAAGCAAGAAAUUUAGUGUCAGUCACCAUAGUAACAAAGUUAGUCUCUCUGAUUUGUCUGUACUGUCACAGACUCUGCAAAUGGCCCACAAGCAUAAUAAAAGCUUUGCGCUGACUGUAGGUUACAAAUCUUACAUUAGUUUGACUCCUCAAGCCAUCCCCAAUCUUCCCAGUGAUUUUUGUGUGUGUGUGUGUGUGUGUGUGUGUCUGUAAUUUCACAUGAAUUCAUCCCACAUAUCGUUUUCACAGGAAGCUUGCAAGCACAUGUAAAUUCAGAAGUAAUGUUCAUUAAGUCGUUUCACUGUGACAUCACUGUGUAGUUUGUGGUUUUACAAGCAACAGGAAACGAAGCACAGCCAACGAUGCCUUUCCUUCAAUCGACCCUCAUUCCGAGUGAGCGAGCAGACUGGGUCCUGGUGCCACUGGCUUUGGAGCAGGGGCUGAUGGCAUCAUUGCCCAUGUACCUUAAACACUGACCUCACUGUGGCAUCAACUUAGAAAGUGUAUCUGAAUUGUGUGGAUUUAUUGUUAACUAACACAAUCGAUACUCAAUUAUGCAGAGUGCAGCUUUUACAUUGUAAAAUUUAGCAGUCAAGGACAGUUUCUUGGAUGUAAUCUGAAUUUUCAGCCACAGUUAAUGUCCCAUCUUCCUAGAACUGGUUCUGCAAGGUUCACCUCCUCGCCCUGUAAAAUAUUUGUGCUUAAUUAUCGAAGCGGGUAAGGCAAGCAAAGGAUAGCUGCCACAAAAAACUGCUUAGGCCACAAAUCUCUUGUUGAAAGUCCAGAUCUUUACCAGCUUUUUUUUUUUUUUUUUUUUUUU
Molecule: long non-coding RNA, 3682 nt
Organism: Monopterus albus (swamp eel)
Lineage: Eukaryota; Metazoa; Chordata; Actinopteri; Synbranchiformes; Synbranchidae
Exons: 2
Source: RefSeq, a predicted model, not a curated record